AGGCCGAGCGCCGAACCAUAGGGGCCGGCUCCAAAAUAGGCAACGCGGUCGCUACUUGUGAUUGUGACCUAUUGUGAUUGUGUUGUUUGGUUUCGUCGGCCCCGCUUCCGACGAAGCGCGCUCAGACGCCGCAGCGAACCGAAGUAUUUUUGACACAUUAAUUAUUAUUGAGCGACGGCGGCUGAUCGCGCUACGUGUGGGGAUAUCGCCUUAUGUGCUCCUUUCGUACUAUAGUCGGCUUCACGCUUACCCGCCAGUCAACGUAAUACAUAAGUAUCGAUCUCAGCCUUUCAAGGCUCCACAUGGGCUUAGGAUUAUAAUUUGAAACGAUUUCGGCCGAACGGCUUUCGUACAUCGUAAGUUGUCUUAGUUUUUAUAUCGUACCGUAUUAAGAGAACACUUAUUCUUUCUCUUGUCCCCUUAACCUGUGAUAAGUAUGUUAGUAUAGAAUUUUUGGAUUACUUGGAAGGAUUUCGAGAUGCUCAUAUGUCAGUUGUACGUUCCUAAUUUCAGCUGUACAAUUUGCUUUUUAUUCACAAGGUAACUAGUCGAAACGUGGAAGUUUCCUUUAAGUUUUUUUUUGCGCUUGAUCAAGUGAUUUAUUUUUUAGUUUUUAAUCAAUAUGGAGCUUGAUUGCUGAUCUUAGUUUUUUUAUUAUUGGAACAUCUUCAUUAGCUUAAUUAGUAGCUAUUUUAUUUUGACAUUGAGAGAGGUAAUCUUUCUAUCGAGAAUAAUAAUGAUAUAGCACAGAAGAGACACACUUUGUGUUCAGUAGCUUCUGUACUUUAAAUAUUAUUAUUUUCUGGUCGAUUUAUGAUUAAUUUUAGUUGACAGAGAGCUGAAUAAGGAGAGGCGAUUAGAAUGUUUUAUUAUUCAUUUAUUGUUUCUAUGGGGUUUUAAUAAUUAGUAGUACGUUUAUCCAAUAUUUUAUCUUAACUGCAUGGUACUUCAUUUACGUAAUUGUAAACUUACUUUGUAAGAACUUGCAUGAGCUUCAAUGGGUUUCGUAGUCAGAGCGAGAGAAACGACGCGACAGACUUAUCUUGUAGUAGAAUAGGUAUGUUUAAUUCAUUUAAUACAUCCGAAAACAUAAAAAAAAAUAAAGUCACUUUAAUAUCUACAAAGUGUCAUUUAUAGUUUCCGGAAUUCAGGAUCCGUUUUUGUGAUCUAUGCAAAUGAACUGUUUGGGUGAUAUAAAAGUACCUACCUACCUGAACGACACAUAGUAUAACGGACGCUUUAAAAAAAACAUCCCCUUUGCAUUUUAUUUUGAAACCUAUUUGAUUUACGCACUGGUUAUGUACGUAGAGUCGGACCAAGAAAAGUCCGCAGCGGAUUUGAUAGCCCACGCUGUGUAAGUAUUAUUUAUAUGUCAUAUUUUCAUAGAAGUUUGACGUUUAAAAUAACACGUGCUCUGCGUGGGCUAUCAAAUCCGCUGCAGACUUUUCUUGGUCUGACUCUAAUCAUAAGGUAAGUUUGUCGCUUCGAAUAAUGAUUUUUCUAAGAAUUGACGUCCGAUUUCUGUAGAGCUAAAAGAUAUCUAUCUAUGGAGUUUUAGUAUUGUAAAGAUAAUUUGGGACACAGAAAAUGUAUUUCCAAGAAUGAAUAAAAAUCUAUUUUAAUAAAACUUCAAAUAAAGAUUGCUGGCAACCCUAAUUGACUAAUACAGGACGAAAAAAGUUUUGUUCUACUAUUUUUUUUUAUAUUUCACCGCUACAUUGACAUUUCUGUAUCCCUUAUUAUCUAAAUGCAAAGUUCAGCCGUCGCAUACCGUUAAACCAGAGUCAUAACUGCCACUAGCGUAUAAAUACAUCUGUAAUAUUUAUAAAGAUAUAUUGUAAUGGUAUAAAGUGACGCUCGGUGUAUUGAAGUUGGAUUUUGUUGUACAAUAAGACGUUUCUGAUUUGUGAGGCCACUCUAUCCAGCCGUACUGCUAGACUGAAGGCCUACCGCGAAGCACGUUCGACGUGUUGCCUCUCUGUCGCACUUGUAAAUUAGUACGUAAGUGUGACAGGGAGGCAACACGUCGAACUUGCUUCGCGGGAGGCCCUCCGAAACCGACAAAUGUUUUUAAGCACAAAACCGGACGGUCAAAAGUGAUAUCCAGACAGUUCGUUCAACGCGCAGUACAAAUAAUAGGCAUAAUAAAGUAAAAGGUGCCUUAUAUUUUUAAUUUCCGUGAAUACCAGCAUCGUUAGCAUGAUCGAGAUUAAGAUUUCGUCCCCUUCUGACAAAUAUGUAAGUGCGAAAGGGAUGAACGGCAUACUAACAUUAAUGUGGUCAUGUUAACAAGUCAGCAAUAUCUCAGAUCUCAGUAUAGUUCUGACAGUUGGAUAGUGUGGCCUCGUCUCAGACUAGGGGGCGAAAAAUCUGAAAAAAAAAAACAGUAAAAAGACAAAAGUACGAUUUUUCUUUCCCUAUCUGGCUCAUUUUGGAGUCUAUUUUUUAUUCAGACCAACAAGAAAUAAAACAUUGUAUAGGCAAAUAUGAAUACUAUAAUAUCUCUUUGAUCUGAAGGUUAACUAGUGUUUCGAAUUGUCUAUACAGGUACAUUUUGGUUGUAUUUAAUCAAUAAAAUGAAUGUUUAAGUAGUAUAUUGACGACAACAUUUACAAAUAACAAUGCAAAAAUUGUUGUAAGAUUGUGCUAUCAAUGUGUAAUAAUUUAUCUAACAAAUUUCCAACUUAUUUAAACUUUUGGAAUUAUUUUCUUAAACUUUUCCUAAAUACAUAUUUAUCUAUCUAUAUAGCUAUUUACACGCCACAGAUAAAAUAACAGAUACGUCUUAAUGUUCAGUGUAAGGGGCUAUAGGAUGAAUGUUAUCCAAACAAACAAUAUUUUUAUGUAGGAGAGUAAUUUUGAAUAUACAUUUUGGCAAAUAUGUAAAGCCCAUCGCAGACGCUGUGGAAUUCCGGAUGGUUUAUUUCUGAUGUCGGUAAUCUAUCAGGUUUCAAGGCAGUGACAGAUUUCCAGCCGGAAUUUUUAUAGCCAUUACACACUACCGCACCGUGACAUUGAUGUAGUGUGUGGUGGCGGUAGUGUGUUACGGCUUUUAGAUAUGGCGAGCCUAUCAAAAUGUCUAUUCAACCAGUGCUACCACUACUGUCAAAUAAUUUGUUUCGAUAAUAUUGUAAACGAAAAUACGUUGCAAGUUCACUUGUCUAUAUAAUAAUCGUAUUAACUUUUAUCAUAGGAUAAAAUUAAGUGUAUUGCUGCACAGUGUUCAAUGAAAAUAAGUGGCUGAAUAGAAAUAUCGUAGUCUCAAAACCCCAUUAAAAAAAACUGUACAUUGUUUGUGGUUCGCAGAAGACACGCUUGUAGACUCGUGCUUUCGGCCAACGAAAUCAGUUAAGCGAUUAUAAGUCUUGUUGUAUUUGGAUAAGGUUUAAAAUUAAUGAAUGACUGUUUGUAAUAAGCUAAGCCGGACUUUUCGAAGUUUUAUCAAUGUUUCAUCUUUUUCUCGUGCCGUUAGAGUGAAUGGGAUAGACAGUGGCUUUACUUCUGACUCGGCCAGUCCGGUGAUAGCAAUAGAUUUAAUAAUUGAUUGCCUUCUAAAAAUCAAAUUAUCAUCUUAUGCGACUAUAUUUUUAUUUUUAUCUACUCAAGCACAUCAUACUAGUGAUUUUCAAGCUUAGUUUUUCCAUCAUGUAUAGUUUAAAGAGCCAAAUACGUUAAGGCAAAUUCCUGAGGGAAAAGGACAGUCGAUCACAGCUCACUUUGUUCCAAAUGUUUUUUUAUGCAACUUUUUAAAACGUGACAUCUGUCAAUUAAGUUAUGCCCGAGGCAGGUAUCCGUUGAUAUUCCCCUUGCUAAGAUUUCGUAAAAACCAUUUACGAAACGACAUUCGAAGACACUAAGAUCGAAGCUUGCAAAACUCUAGUGUGAAAUCAAACUGUUGAAUAACCUUGUCAAUUUCAUUUUGAACAUUAUGCAACAAAAUGGAAAUUUAUUUCACACCGUCACUGUAAUUGUUUUUAGAACAAGUUCGCAUCACGGAAAUUUAAAAAAAUUACGAGAAAAUCAGGGCAACUAUUCCCACCGCUUGCCGCGCAUUCAUCAAUGAUCAUUUAUAAGUAUGAUUUCUGACUACGUAUAGUUCUGACAUGUCUUAUAGUUUCUACAUAGUUUACUACAGACAGCUGCACCGCCCGCACGUUCAAUCGUAUGUAAGGUGGUUCGCCGUACGUCCGUUAAGGACGCAGUUUAUAAGUGAGAGCGAAAAUUAGAUAUUUUGACCGCACCAAGGUCGCGGUUAUUAUAUACGGCGUCUGUAAAAUAUAGCCGAAACAGACUACCGCAUCGCACCGUGAUCUUGGAGCGGUGCGGUAGUCUGUUACGGCUAUUGUAUUGGUUAUCUCGGUAAGCGUUCGGAAUACGCCCGGCUAGGAGGCAUAUUUAAAAGUAUUUUUCUACUUGAUCGUUUAGGGACGCUGUGUAGAUAUUUUUGGACCAUUGUUGCGAUAUGAUCAGUAUUGGAUAGUGUUAGAUGGUUGGAAGUGAUUUGUCGAGAUUAGUAAACGCUUUGUAUAGACAUAAUGCACCCUAACAUUUGAACGUCUGUCUAUUCCUUGAAUAAAAAAAAUAAUAAUUUUGAAGCAUUUAUUCUCUAAUGGUUAAUAAAACACAGCGAACGCUGUGACGAUAAACAGCAAAAACUGAAGGAGAUCAAAGUUUUAUUUGCAACUAACGCCUUUAGAGCCCCUUGUUACACUCUAGAUUCUAAAUCAGAGUCACUCGCCACGCUUGUGAUUCUAUUAUAGAAUUUUUCACUUGCUCGGGAUUCGAAUUCGUGUUGACACUCGCAGCAAAAACUUUGAUCUCUUGUUGCACAAUUAUUUUUUUUACUGAAUGUUAAUAACAGCUUGCCAUUCCUACGUUUUAAUAGGCGCCGGGGAGCGCCUCUGUCAUGCACAUACUAUUUCUUUCAUCAGGGUUAGAGGUUUGACCUUUUCUGCAUGGAAGCAUUCGUCUCUUCUCGUUCUAGCUCGUAAGAGUGAAAGUGACGAAUAUUUUUCUGUCAGCAAAUGUGUUAAAUUAUUCUAGGAAUAGACAGCACGGUCAGUGUUCUUGUGACCAUUGUAUGGGCAAAGUAUUUAUAAAUGGUGCAUUUCAUUAUGUGUAACGCAGUCCUUAGCUGUACUUCCAUACAAGGUUUAAUCUUAGGUACACCUCACACUAGCGUCUUUUGAGCGUCGGCGUCUAGUCAGCGCUAUGAAAAAUGGCGUCGCUGUACAGUUGCGCCAACUUUGCGUCGAGCAGCAGCCAUAGAGUUAACUAGACGCUGACGCUCGGGACGCUCUAUAGUGUGGGGUGGCCCUUAAUAUAUAAAGUGGGUCUGUGAGCUGCAGACUUCGCGAACUCAUAUCGCCGGUCGCCGCCAUUUUGAAAAAAAUAUAAAAACUGAAUCGACAAAAUACCUGCUCAAAUAAUUAGCAGAAUACCUAUAAGAUAUCAAUUUGUUUUCUGCCUUAAACCUAACACCUUUAGGUAGAGUUUCGCGUGUACAUUUGUAUGGAAGUACAGUUAGCCACACAAGUAAUCCGUUAGGUACAGAACCGCUUCAUAUUUUUGUAUUCCCUUAGUGUAAAGGAGUUUGGUGUCUUCUAAAGGUGUACGCAACAUGCUAUAGAUGAAUAUUUCAUAAAUAUUUGGUUGAAAUAAUAAGUGCGUAAUAAAACACUUUUUCGUAUCAAAA
Cydia fagiglandana is the source of this 5695-nucleotide long non-coding RNA. RefSeq lists it as uncharacterized. The transcript has 2 exons. Lineage: Eukaryota; Metazoa; Arthropoda; Insecta; Lepidoptera; Tortricidae. The record is from RefSeq and is a predicted model, not a curated record.